AAAAAAAAACAAGCCUUAGCUUCGAUGCGAGCGGUGCUCGAGUUCAACUAAAAAAUUUAGAUUUUGUAAAUUAUUAUUCGAUUUGAGUUUUGGUUGAAAAGUUAAUAACUCCGAAUUUAUUUUGGGACAUUAUCGAAUUAAUUUGUUGAAGACGCCAAGAAUAUAAAACUCUAUGCAAUAAAUUAUAUUAUAUGUUUUGAAAAUAUCAGUUAGUAGACUCAGUCGAAUUUAACUCACAAGUUAGAAUAGCAAUGAGGUCAGAAAUGAGGUCAGAAUUAAACCUACGAUUUCAGCUGCAAAUUCAAUUUUAAUCUCUAAAUUUAAGAAUGUAUUGGACUCGGGUUGAGCGUCCAACUUUAGUUACCAUAGAUAUUUAGGGCUUCAAAUGUCCCAUGCGAUUCGAUUUCAAGCCUACGCCGGCCUGAUGUUGUCUACUUCACCGUCGUCGAAUGAUUUUCCCGAAAAGGUAUGAUUUCCCAUUGAGCUCGCGAGCAAAGAGACCUUUGAAGUAAUCUGCAGCCGCCACUCUUUUGAACGCCGCUGGAGUUUGUCGGGUAAUCAAACUAGGUGCAGGACCCAUUUCUCCAUCAUAUUUUGGGCUGUAAAAUGUGGCGAUUGAGAGCCUCUCCUUCACAGAGUUUACAGUUGCACGAUGCUCGAUGCUACGGUAAGCUCCAUUGGUCACAAUCUACAAAACAAGACCUAUUACCUCCAAAAUGUCUCCAAUGUUGACGACGAAGGCACCGGGUAGGGGUUUGACAGGUAGGCUUGCACCUGGAAGAAACCCCAUUCUUUGCAUGCAGAAUCCAGCUUCUUCAACUCCAACUCCGUAUGAUCUCCACUAAGUAAGUUUUCCAUGUCGAUGAUCGGUACAUCGCAGGUAGAAGCAGUGGAG
This is a long non-coding RNA of Cornus florida, 895 nucleotides long. RefSeq lists it as uncharacterized. NCBI's taxonomy places the organism in Eukaryota, Viridiplantae, Streptophyta, Magnoliopsida, Cornales, Cornaceae. The transcript has 4 exons. The record is from RefSeq and is a predicted model, not a curated record.